Molecule: ribosomal RNA, 486 nt
Filed under: uncultured bacterium
Lineage: Bacteria
Description: bacterial SSU rRNA
Rfam family: Bacterial small subunit ribosomal RNA
Source: RNAcentral
UGGCGGCGUGCCUAAUACAUGCAAGUAGAACGCUGAAGGAGGAGCUUGCUUCUCCGGAUGAGUUGCGAACGGGUGAGUAACGCGUAGGUAACCUGCCUGGUAGCGGGGGAUAACUAUUGGAAACGAUAGCUAAUACCGCAUAAGAGUAGAUGUUGCAUGACAUUUGCUUAAAAGGUGCAAUUGCAUCACUACCAGAUGGACCUGCGUUGUAUUAGCUAGUUGGUGGGGUAACGGCUCACCAAGGCGACGAUACAUAGCCGACCUGAGAGGGUGAUCGGCCACACUGGGACUGAGACACGGCCCAGACUCCUACGGGAGGCAGCAGUAGGGAAUCUUCGGCAAUGGACGGAAGUCUGACCGAGCAACGCCGCGUGAGUGAAGAAGGUUUUCGGAUCGUAAAGCUCUGUUGUAAGAGAAGAACGAGUGUGAGAGUGGAAAGUUCACACUGUGACGGUAUCUUACCAGAAAGGGACGGCUAACUACGUG